GGGAAGGUGGCUCAGUGGUAGAGUGCUUGCCUUGCAUGCAUAAGGCCCUGGGUUUGAUUCCUCUAUACCA
This 70-nucleotide transfer RNA is filed under the name Dipodomys ordii (Ord's kangaroo rat). It matches the Rfam family "tRNA". Rfam says of the family: Transfer RNA (tRNA) molecules are approximately 80 nucleotides in length. Their secondary structure includes four short double-helical elements and three loops (D, anti-codon, and T loops). The record is from Rfam by way of RNAcentral. Lineage: Eukaryota; Metazoa; Chordata; Mammalia; Rodentia; Heteromyidae.